AAAAAAAAAAGCCUAAGAACAACUAGCCCAACCCACAGUAUAGCCUAAACCCAUUAAACUAAACCUUAGCUUAGGAGAGUUAUGGGCUCUAAUCCAAGAAUCCAAAAAAGAUAGAGCAAACAAUGCUUCUUGUCAUGGAUGCCUUUCGCCAAGAUCUGAAAAACAUUGCUAGGGCCAUGCAUGUUUUAACUAGCAACAACUAAGCUCCAAAUAGCAACAUCAAGCACGUGAAAUCAUGAAAGCCAAGAAACACUGAGACUCAUUGGGAAAGGAUAGUGGAGGAAGAGAAAGAGUCUAAAUAGCUUUUCACUCUCUUUGUAGCCGAAGGUGUAUCCACUGUCCACGGACAAUCGGCUAUCACUUAACCCUCAGGAAUCCUUUUCCUUAAAAUAGCAACAAAAGCAUAAACCUAUAUCCAUAAAUCCAUUGAUAUGAAGGAGAAAAGGCAAAGCUUCUACAUAUUUCCCGGCCAAAAUGGUCACCAGCUUCAUGGAGCAUUAAUUGACACACCUCGAUAGUACGUUCCUUCCUCUACAUAGCUCACCAAACCAAAACCCACCAUUUAAAUCAUAAAAUACAUAAAAUUAACAGAUUACAAGUUAGAAUCUCUCCAAAUGCUCAAGUUUCCAAAGAGCCUACCCAAAACCUAUUUACAUCCCACUCAGCAGCGGGGAGAGCUAACCCGCAGGAAGAAAGGAGCUUCCCCUACCCAGAUGGGAUAAGGAAGGCCACCUAGAUUUCAAACAAGAAAAUGAGGUUCCUAAUCUGUAACACCCUAGGCAAAUCCCA
This 789-nucleotide unclassified non-coding RNA is filed under the name Hevea brasiliensis (rubber tree). The record is from RNAcentral. Lineage: Eukaryota; Viridiplantae; Streptophyta; Magnoliopsida; Malpighiales; Euphorbiaceae.